AAAAAGUUAGUGUAUUGUGGGGUUCACAGGCAUUUAUUGUUACUUAAGAGGAAAUUUCUGAGAAACCAAAUAAAUACAAAACUCUCUAGAACUCACGCAUUAUUCUUUAUGUUUCUUUUACUCAAAAUAUCGUUAAAAUCAAAACAGUUUAUGUAGAUCAAGUCAAGAAAUUUCUUUAAAAAUUUGAUUCAAAAUUAGUUAGUGUUGUUGCUGAGUCAAAGAAAAACGAGUUGAGAUUUGAAGAUGAAGAGAAUCAAAAAAUAUAAAAGAAAAUUCCUUUCAAUCUAAUGCUAGAAAGGAUCAAGAAUUGGGUGAAAUCUUCAUGAAUUUUAUUUUGCUUAUUUAAUCAUCCAUGAUUUCAGGUAUGGGGCUUUCUUUAUCUUCUUAUGAGAUCUUUAUUUUAUUUAUACAAUUAAAUUAAAAAGAUUAUAAAUAUAUGAUAAUUUAAAUUUUCAUAGAUUUUCUUUGCAUGUUAGAUGUAACAUCAAAGUACAAAAAUAAUAUUUUUUGCACUGAUUUACUGCUAAAUUAAGAGUAUAUUAUACAAAAAAUAAGCCCACAAUAUAAUCUACUUCAAAAAAGAAAUUGAAUUCUUCUAAAAUUUAUUUGUUUGAUCCUUGGCUCUGCAUGCAAGCUUCAGAUUGCAGAUUCACGUUUUGAGUCAAAAAUUGGUUGAAAAGUGCUGGGUGAAUCUCCAUGUAUCUGCGUAUUUGAUCUUUAGAAAAUAAAUUAACAUUCUUAAAAAAAAUAUUAAAGUCACUGCUAAUUAUAUUUAAAAAUAGAUUAGAAGAGAAAUCAAACCUCGAAAAUUAAUUUCGGAUUGAUGUUGUAUUUGCUGCACUGCUGUUGACUGUGUGCCGAAAGCCAGUGUUGUAUUCAAAAAUUAAUGAUUCUGUACUAGUGUUGCUCUAUUUUUUAAAGUCAUUUUGUGAUAUUUUUUUCUUUUUUUCUCACCUUUUAGCUUCACUCUGCCAUAUCCAUUUCUCUUUCCUUUUUUCUUAAUUGGAUCCAAAAUUUGAUCUGCACAUCCUGUUAAAGGAUCAACAGAACUGAAUUUGUCUUUAUUUUUAUCACAAUCUCCAUUAUAUAUCUCACUUUGAUGUUUACUAAUCUCAAUUCUUGCUUGAUGUAAAUAUUUUCUAGCAAUUUCUUCGGAAUCCUCAUCAUUUGUUGCUAAAGUCAUAACAUCAAACGACUCUUUCAUUAACCCAUUCAAACGAAUUGCCAUAGAGGAUUGUACUGCUUUCUUCUUUGUGGUAUAUUCCUCAAAUCUGUCUCUACGCUUAGCAUUUUUAGAUUAUCUUUUCAAAAUAUAUUUCUCAAGAAUAUAAGAAAAAUUCAAGUCAAAGAAUAGAACUUUUAGUGUGUGACAACAUAACCAACCCAUGGACUCAAACAUAUGACAGCUACAUAUAAUUGAAUUUUCAAGGGAAUUAAACUGGACAACUUCAGUUUGUCUGUUGUCACCCUUUAAAAUUGUAUAUUUGGUAGUAUUGCCAUUAGUUUUAGCACUGAGUGUUCUUUUGGUUGUCCCUUACAAAAAUUCAUGUUGGAAUCUUGUGUAAAUUCUUCUUGUGUACAUACUAGCAGCAUGUUUUAACACCCCACAAUCUUCUAUGAAUAUUUUAGGCAUUCCUCAAGAUUUAUAAUCCUUAACUGCUUCAAUAUCUUGCAUUCAGUUGUUCGCUGCUCAUAAUGUUUUACAAACUCAGUUAUACUCAUUGCCUUGCAUGUCGUUUCUGUGAAGACCCUAUUUAUGCUCUCAUUUCUUUGAGUUAAUUUGAUGUCUGCCGAGAAAAUUAAAUGGCUAAAUGCAGGACACCAUUUCUUUCUCAAAUCAUGUUUUGAAGUCAAGUAUUACUCGCAUAAUCUCAUUCACUUAUCAUUUUAUGCCACACUAGCUCAAAUUCUUAUUCUAAAUUGCACCCCCACAAGAGUGUGUCAAAAAAGUAUUGAAAGUCUGACUUAAAAUAAAGGUGGGGUAUAUUUUUUUGAGCAUUUCUAUCAAUAAGUCAUUCACUUAGUCGAUGACACGUAGGAAAGACUUCUUUAAUGGCCAAGUUUAUGGUAGGAGCUUGAUCGAUAAAAAUUAUUUUUGGUGUUUUUCCCUCCAUUGCCUUCAAAAAUGCUUGAAAUAGCCAAACAAAUGAACCACUGAUUUCAUUGUAUAAGAAUGCGCAACCAAAAAAUAAUUUUUCCAAUGGUUAUUCACACCAACAAAUAGAGCACAAAUUAUGUCUUAUCUAUUUGUACGAUAAGUAGUGUCAAAAAUCAUCACAUCCCUAAAACACUCAUAGUGCAAUUUAGAUAUACUAUCUCUCCAAAAGAAAUUGCACAACCUACCAUCUUCAUCAACUUGAAAAGAAUAGAAGAAGUUUGAGUCCUCUGAUUGCAAAUGCAUAAAAUGAUUUAUCAAAGUUUGAGCAUUUCCACUACUAAUCAUAUUUCUCUUAUGUGCUUGAACAAAGUUAUGAGCAUCUUAUUCAAUGAAUCCUACAUUUCCAACUCCACCCUCUUCAUUCUGAAGAUAUCGAACAACUUUUUUUUGUAUGAAUACCGACAUCAAUCAUAGAACUAGGAAUAUUUUUAGUAGCAUUUGUAAGCCUACGACGAAAAUGUAUGAAAUAUUUCAAAUUAUCUUCUAUCAUGGAAUGACAAUGAACAUAAUUGAAUUCACAUACUUCCCAUAUUACAUUCAAAAUUUUGAAUUUUAUAUGAGUCAUACAACCACAUCUAUAUUCUAAUCUUUGUUGCUUUCUUUCUUGAAAAGGAGAAAGUUUAUCCGAUUGUCCUUCACAAGAACAAAGAAAUAAACAUUUUGUUGUCUCUCCUUUUACAUUAGUAGUCUUUCCUCCCUUUCGAACACCAAAACCUCUUGCCACGGCAUAUGAGUUAUAUGCAUUGUAUGAUUUCUCUUCUGAAUUAAACUUCAUACCAAUCUCAAAAAUAAAGUUCUUGUUAGUGUUACAAAUAUUAGGCUCGUUAAAAUUGAAAUCUAUAAUAAUAAUUUUUAAUUGUAAGUAUCGAAAUUUGAUAGAUAAAUGAACUAUAGAAAAUAUUUAUUUAAUAGAAAUCUCUACACUUUAGUUAUCUUCUUGGGUAGAGGAGUCUUUGUCUUUGUCAACAUGUGCAUCUUCCAUUUAUUUUCAAGAACAGUAUGCAUAAGACAAAAUUUACAACAUUAAAAAUUUAAUCUUUUCACAAAAUUAUUUUAAUAUUUAAAAUAUUUAUUUUAUGUUAUAUAGUGUCUAAUUAAAAUGUAAUUUUAAAUAUGUGAUCAAACUUUUUGAAUUUUGCAGCAAAAUUCUUAUUAUCAAGUUUUUAUGAUAUUUUUACAUUUAUAUUUAAUAACAAAAGUUAUUUUUUAUGUUUACAGGAUCAACUGACCAUGAAGAUCAUUCAAUAAAUUAUACACAAGAUAUGAACACAAUGAAAAUUUUGAGAAGUGAACCAUAUAUGUUAGCAUUAGAUAUUUUUAUACGAAAAUA
Molecule: long non-coding RNA, 3488 nt
Filed under: Capsicum annuum
Lineage: Eukaryota; Viridiplantae; Streptophyta; Magnoliopsida; Solanales; Solanaceae
Description: long non-coding RNA (CANN_LNC015411)
Source: RNAcentral